UACGUAGGUGGCAAGCGUUGUCCGGAUUUAUUGGGUUUAAAGGGUGCGUAGGCGGCUUGAUAAGUCAGUGGUGAAAGCCGAUCGCUUAACGAUCGAAUUGCCAUUGAUACUGCCAGGCUUGAGUACAGAUGAGGUAGGCGGAAUUGACGGUGUAGCGGUGAAAUGCAUAGAUAUCGUCAAGAACACCGAUAGCGAAGGCAGCUUACCAAGCUGUAACUGACGCUGAGGCACGAAAGUGUGGGGAUCAAACAGG
Molecule: ribosomal RNA, 253 nt
Filed under: uncultured prokaryote
Description: partial 16S ribosomal RNA
Rfam family: Bacterial small subunit ribosomal RNA
Source: RNAcentral